RNAcentral lists this ribosomal RNA (62 nucleotides) under Pseudomonas aeruginosa. The record is from RNAcentral. Lineage: Bacteria; Pseudomonadati; Pseudomonadota; Gammaproteobacteria; Pseudomonadales; Pseudomonadaceae.
CUUGACGAUCAUAGAGCGUUGGAACCACCUGAUCCCUUCCCGAACUCAGUAGUGAAACGACG